UACAGAGGUGGCAAGCGUUGUUCGGAAUUACUGGGCGUAAAGGGCGCGUAGGCGGCCAUCUAAGUCAGACGUGAAAUCCCCAGGCUCAACUUGGGAACUGCGUCUGAUACUGGAUGGCUUGAAUUCGGGAGAGGGAUGCAGAAUUCCAGGUGUAGCGGUGAAAUGCGUAGAUAUCUGGAGGAAUACCGGUGGCGAAGGCGGCAUCCUGGACCGAUAUUGACACUGAGGUGCGAAAGCGUGGGGAGCAAACAGG
This 253-nucleotide ribosomal RNA is filed under the name uncultured bacterium. Its description in RNAcentral is "partial 16S ribosomal RNA". It matches the Rfam family "Bacterial small subunit ribosomal RNA", at positions 524 to 776 of the family's 1533-position model. The record is from RNAcentral.